GGUGUAGAGACUCCUGUGUGUCUCUAGGGGGCGCUAACAACGACGAGCAGAGCCAGAGGAGUUAGAAAAAGCCAGCAGGACGUGAUGAUGGUGGCGGCUCCUCCUUUGGUGGUUGGGCCUCGGCUUUCGGCAGGCUUGGUGGUGAUGUUAGGGCUGCUUGCAGCUGAUGAACUGCUACUUGUAACUGUAGUCUGUGCAGUCUGACAACUGAUACACAGAUGUCAGCAUGAGAAAGUUUCUCAAACAGUUCUGACCCAGAUCAACCACAGAGGGCAUCCUGACCGACAGGAUAACAGUUUUUGCAAAGCACCAGCCUAUUUUACAGACCUUUCUAACAUUAAAACUAGUCAGAAAGACGUAAGAGUGAUGUUAA
Molecule: long non-coding RNA, 373 nt
Organism: Trichomycterus rosablanca
Lineage: Eukaryota; Metazoa; Chordata; Actinopteri; Siluriformes; Trichomycteridae
Exons: 3
Source: RefSeq, a predicted model, not a curated record